CUUUGAAGGCUAGUUGGCAACAACCGGCUUUUGAGGAGAACUAUGGCAAACUAGAUUAUUUAGAGGAAGUAAAAGUCGUAACAAGGUUUCCGUAGGUGAACCUGCGGAAGGAUCAUUACUUAUUUAUUGAGAGAAAGAGAGUCUCCUCUCUCUCUCUCAAUUAAAAAUCAUCCACAGUGUGGGAAAUGUCUUUCAUUUAAACGCUUGUGCCUGGUAUAGUCUAGUGCUACCACUUGGUUUAUCUUUUAGUCAAUGGACUUUUAGAUAGUGCUUUUUUCCUUGGAAGAUAGCACCUCUUGUAAAAGGGGAUAAGAUUUCAUUUUAUUAUACUUUUUUUUUUUUAACUGAACUGAUAGACCAUAAAAUCUAUGGUUGUUUUUUAUUAUAAAAAAAUUAAAAACAACUUUCAGCAAUGGAUCUCUCGGCUUUCGUAUCGAUGAAAAACGCAGCAAAUCGCGAUAUGUAAUGUGAUCUGCCUAUAGUGAAUCAUCAAAUCUUUGAACGCAUCUUGCACCUUAUGGCAUUCCAUAAGGUACGUCUGUUUCAGUACCACUAAUAAAUCUCCCUCCUCCAUCUUUUGUUGAUGAUAGGAUAAAAAAAGGAGAUAAAUCAUUACUGGUUCGGGUGAUUUUUGAAUUUUUAUUUAUUAAAAAAUCAAAAAUUGCUCUCAACCUAAAUAUAAGGCUAGACUUGAAAGGUUUAUUCUUUCUUGGUCGGCUUUAAUAGAAUUUAUUCUAUGAAAGGUUUAUAGCCAUUUAUUUUUUUCAAAAUCUUGGCCUGAAAUCAGAUGGGACUACCCGCUGAACUUAAGCAUAUCAAAAGCGGAGGAAAAGAAAAUAACAAUGAUUCCCCUAGUAACGGCGAGUGAAGAGGGAAAAGCUCAAAGUUGGAACCUGGUGGGCAUAGCUCACCCGGAUUGUAAACUAAAGUUUUUGAGUCGUUUAGUCAGCCAGGUAAAUAAGUCCUCUGGAAAGGGGCGACAUAGAGGGUGAAAUCCCCGUCUUUGGCCUGAGUUUUGAUUAGGCGUUUGGCUUGGAAACGAAGAGUCAGGUUGUUUGGGAAUGCAGCCUAAAAUGGGAGGUAAAUCUCUCCUAAAGCUAAAUAUUGACGAAAGACCGAUAGCGAACAAGUACCGUGAGGGAAAGAUGAAAAGCACUUUGAAAAGAGGGUCAAAAAGUACGUGAAAUUGCUGAAAGGGAACCGUAUGAAAUCAGACUUACUGGUAGGUAAUCAAUCUUUCCCUUGGGAAGGAUGCACUUGCCUGCUAUGUACGCCAGCGACAUUUUGGUUGUGGAGGAAAAAAAUAGUUGGAAUGUAGCCUGGGUUUCGGCUUAGGUGUUAUAGACUACUAUAAAAUACUCUCGGCUAGAAUGAGGAACGCAGCAAACCGUAAGGCGAAGAUUUUAGGCGCUUGGGGGGAAUCAUUAGAGAAUUUCUGCUUCGGGUGGUGCUUUAGUGAUUUCGUUCAACUCGUUUGAAUUUCUUUUUAUUUGCUUAGGUUGUUGGCUUAAUGAUUUUAUAUGACCCGUCUUGAAACACGGACCAAGGAGUCCACCAUAUGCGCGAGUCUUUGGGUGUAGAAACCCAUGGGCGGAAGGAAAUUGACUAAGAUACCAAGGCUUUAGCUGGCAGUAUCCCCCGGCAUAGACGUUUUAUACUGAAAUGACUGAGGGCAAGCGCUUAUGAUGGGACCCGAAAGAUGGUGAACUAUACUUGAAUAGGGUAAAGCCAGAGGAAACUCUGGUGGAAGCUCGCAGCGAUUCUGACGUGCAAAUCGAUCGUCAAAUUUGAGUAUAGGGGCGAAAGACUAAUCGAACCAUCUAGUAGCUGGUUCCUGCCGAAGUUUCCCUCAGGAUAGCAGAAGUCGUAGGCAGUUUUAUGAGGUAAAGCGAAUGAUUAGAGGCCUAGGGGGCUUAUUGCCCUUUACCUAUUCUCAAACUUUAAAUAUGUAAGACGUUUGGCUUGCUUAAUUGAAGUCAAACAUA
This 1985-nucleotide ribosomal RNA is filed under the name Cunninghamella echinulata. Its description in RNAcentral is "partial 18S ribosomal RNA". The stretch from base 774 to 1985 matches the Rfam family "Eukaryotic large subunit ribosomal RNA", at positions 1 to 1109 of the family's 3401-position model. Lineage: Eukaryota; Fungi; Mucoromycota; Mucoromycetes; Mucorales; Cunninghamellaceae. The record is from RNAcentral.